CAUAGCGACUAUCGUGGCAUAUCAAUAAGCGGAGGAAAAGAAACUAACAAGGAUUCCCCUAGUAACGGCGAGUGAAGCGGGAAGAGCUCAAAUUUGAAAUCUUAAAGGGUUUCCCUUUACGAAUUGUAGUUUAAAGAAGUGUUUUCUGUUGGAGUUUCGGUAAAAGUUCUUUGGAAUAGGACAUCAUAGAGGGUGAGAAUCCCGUAUUUGACCGUUACUUUCCAGCUGUGUGAUACACUUUCAAAGAGUCGGAUUGUUUGGGAAUGCAGUCCAAGAUGGGUGGUAAAUUUCAUCUAAAGCUAAAUAUUGGCGAGAGACCGAUAGCGAACAAGUACCGUGAGGGAAAGAUGAAAAGAACUUUGAAAAGAGAGUUAAACAGUACGUGAAAUUGUCAAAAGGGAAGCGUUUGACACCAGUGUUGUUUAGUUGAAAAUCAAUUCAAUAAUUUUUGAUUAUUAAGUAGUAUUGACUUCAUCAGCUUUGCUGCUUUCUUUUCAGGAAUUAUUGAAUGCACUUUUCAGUUAACAAGUCAACAUCAAUUUCUUUUGUUGUAAAAGGGUAAGAGGAAGGUGGCUUACGCUUCGGCGUAAGUGUUUAUAGCCUUUUACCUCUGCAAUCGGAGAGAUUGAGGACAGCAGCGUAGACUCUUCGGGGUUAGAUACACUUGUGCUAAGCUAUAGCCUUGUAUAGACAACUUGUUGACUAUGCUCAGUCAUGUAGCUUACUCGCUUGUGCUAUUUUACCUACGCUUAGGAUGUUGACGCGCGUGUGUGCGUG
This 777-nucleotide ribosomal RNA is filed under the name uncultured Neocallimastigales. Its description in RNAcentral is "partial large subunit ribosomal RNA". It matches the Rfam family "Eukaryotic large subunit ribosomal RNA", at positions 22 to 639 of the family's 3401-position model. Lineage: Eukaryota; Fungi; Neocallimastigomycota; Neocallimastigomycetes; Neocallimastigales. The record is from RNAcentral.